Molecule: long non-coding RNA, 2340 nt
Filed under: Oryctolagus cuniculus (rabbit)
Lineage: Eukaryota; Metazoa; Chordata; Mammalia; Lagomorpha; Leporidae
Description: lncRNA (ENSOCUG00000032874.1)
Source: RNAcentral
GCGAUCACGGUCCAGCCCCGCGUCCAUCGGACCGCCCCCUUGCUCACCGCCCACCCCCUGCUCAUGGCCCUGGUGGGGUGGUUCCAGUUUGGGGCUUUGGGGACGGAACCCAGGCGGUGUUUCCGGUGGCCACACGUGUGCACUUCCAGGGUCACAUCCAGGAUCAGAACCAUGGGGCGUGGCCGUGUCUCGCCCACUGGAGAGGACACUGCCGCGAGCAGCCCCGCCCCUGGGAACACGCGGCAGAGUCCUGGUCACGCCCAGCCCCCGCCUGUGCCGGGUGCAUGGCGGGCACUUCUGUGGCUCUCGUGGGUUGUGCUGUUGGCGCCCCGUGCCGGCCUCUUAGGGGCACUGGGGAGGCCUCUCAGGUCCCCCUGGUAGCCAGGCCACAGGGAACACCCUCGGUGCCACCGUGGGGGCCUGGCUGAGCGCCAGGGGCAAAGCCCACAACACCACAGCCUUCAGAGACCGGGCUCCCCUGGGGCUCGGCCACCCCAGAUGCUACGGGCAGUGGCUCCGGUCACAGCCCUUCUCGGGUGCCUCCCCAGUCCUGGGGUCACAGCCUCCCCCCUCCACCCGUGAAGCCCCUGUCUCGGCCGGGCCUUGCCCAGCACACUGUGGGGCGGAGCUUGUCCCUAACCCCGCCUCUCACUCAUCUUCCAUCUCCUCUCUGAGAUCACCGCACUUACCACGCCCUGGCCACGGAGCACGGACACACAGGCCCGCUCAGCACACGGAUCCAGGCAGACCUGGGACAGCCGGCCCGGCACUGAGGACAGACCUGCAAGGACUCCCACAGAGCUGCCUGGGGACGCGGGUCUCCUCCAGGCACGAGGGACAUGGGGUCCCCUCCAGACCCUGAGGACACGGGGUCCCCUCCAGACCCUGGGGACACUGGGGAUAUAGGGUCCCCUGCAGAUACUGGGGACGUGUGGUCACUUCCAGGCACUGGGGACGUGGGUCACCUCCAGACCCUGGGAACACUGGGGACGCGGGGUCUCCUCCAGGCACUGGGGAACACUGCGGACGCAGGGGGUCCCCUCCAGACCCUGGGAACACUGGGGACGUGGGUCCCCUGCAGACCCUGGGAACACUGGGGACAUGGGUCCCCUGCAGAUACUGGGGACGCGGGGUCACUUCCAGGCACUGGGGAACACUGGGGAUGUGGGGUCUCCUCCAGGCACUGGGGACGUGGGUCCACCUCCAGGCACUGGGGACACGGGGUCACUUCCAGGCACUGGGGAACACUGGGGACGCGGGUCCACCUCCAGGUGCUGUGCCUGCUGCCGGCCCGCCCGGUGCAUCAUCCCCUCAGGGCGGCGCUGUGGUGCACUGGGUAAAACCCCUCUGCCUGCAGCACCAGCAUCCAGCAUGGGCCCUGGUUCGAGUCCCGGCUGCUCCACUUCUGAUCCAGCUCCCUGCUAAUGCCCUGGGAAAGCAUGGAGGACGGGCCAAGUGCUGGGCCCCUGCACCCGCACGGGAGACCCGGGAGAAGCUCCUGGCUCCUGGCUUUGGCUCAGCCCAGCUCCGGCCGGUGCAGCCACCUGGGGAGUGGACCACAGACAGAGACCUCUCCUGCCUGUCUCUCUCUAGUGCUGCCUUUAACAAAGAGCGAGCAUGGUCACUCCAGGUUUGUUAAUUCCCAGUGGUCACCACGAACUUGGGGAGGAUUUGUCGGUUCUGCGCUGCAUCUGUGGCCCCGCUGAGCGCGGCCGGACCAGACCCUCACACUCGGCACGACUGGCUGACGCCCACAGUGGCCUGGCCAGCACCACGCUGGGCCCGCGGAGCAUCAGAGACCCCCAUGCAAGGGACCGAGGUGCAGAAGACGGCGUCGGUGUGCACAGGACCACAGGACGAGGCCACACGUGGCGCCCUGCACGCGCGGCCUGAGAAGAAGGGGCAGGCUUGGCCUCGGUGCCUUCCCGGAGCUUCCCCAGGGCACGGUGGGCGCCAGCACAGCCGGCCUCACUUCCCCAUAAGCAGGAGUCGGAGGCCGCAUGGCUGUCACUCAUGCAGGCCCACGGGGGGCUCACUGCCCAUCCCCCAUCCUAGCCCCCAGGGACACCAGGCGCCCCUCAACCACCCGAGCGGUCAACAGCUGGCCACAGGCAGCGGGACAGAGGCAGGCCCUCAGCACGGCCACGCCCAGGUCUAACACCUGUCUUGUGGCUCGAGGGUGGGGUCUGAGCCACCCCCUCGGGGGGCCGCCUGGACUGGCACGCGUGCGGGAAGAGGCGAGGGGCUCUGGGACAGGCGGGGGGACGUGGGUGGUGUGUAUCAACCGGCCACAGGCUUGGGUGCUGCCUGCCUGGUCCUGAGGUCCUCCCCACCACACAC